Molecule: long non-coding RNA, 1597 nt
Organism: Cercocebus atys (sooty mangabey)
Lineage: Eukaryota; Metazoa; Chordata; Mammalia; Primates; Cercopithecidae
Exons: 3
Source: RefSeq, a predicted model, not a curated record
CGCAGAAAAUGGGCCCUUCUGACCGUCGGGACUUGCACUGUGGGUGACUCCGUCUCCUUAGACGGUAGAGCCUGCGUGACCCAGAGAGGCCGUGAGUUUUGACACUGUAUUUUUGCAUAUGUGUUCACAGGUGCAGAUUUACGUUCAUAUGCUCCGUAAGCCCUGUCCCAUUUGUCCUUCCUCUAAGCCGUCCUCUUACCCAAUUCCCCAAUCACACCUGAGAAGCAUUUCUCCGCAGGAGUCACGCUUACAGCAUGUUUUUUUUCUUCGAACUAAAAACAUAACUCCUAUUUUUUCGGGUAGUUUUUGUAGCAAGGUCGAAAUCGAAACACUUCAGCCCCUCUUCGGCGAGAGAGGUUAGUUGGUAAGGUGCCCAUUGUUCACCCAUGGAAACAGGCCUGCCAAGGGCCGCCCGGCAGACAGGUGAGCCCGCGCCCCCGUCGUGGGCGGACUGCGACCUGCGGCGGGUGUCUGGAGUGCGUGGCUCCUCGGGCCUCCUCGCAGUGCUUGCUGUCUGCCAUUCUAGCACUUGCCUCGGUGACCUGGCAGGACGUGCGGCUCUUGAGAUGAGUGGAGAAACGGACUCCCAGGCCCCUCUCGUUCCUCCAACACAGGGACACCUAGAGCUGCUCCAGAAGUAUUCCUAACUUCUUCCACAACCGUGCAUGUGUCAUUUUUACUACACCAUCACUUACUUCCCUGGCCUUCCUGGAGGAAGUGUGCGGGCCAUCGCGAAGUUACCAGUACCGCCCGGGGGUUUUGAAGUUCUUGGUCAACUGCAAAAUCAAUCAACCUCGGAGUUAAAACUCCUACUGCCCUGAGUCUUGGUUUCCCCUGGCCGGGCGGGCGAGCGCUCUCCGCACCGCCCCCGGAGGUCAUACGGGCGCCCGGGCCUGCAGGCGGCAGCGCCCCAGGUGCCUGGGGGCGGGCGGGGUGCAGGCAGGUGCACCUUGGGCGCUUUGUGUUUUCCCACACCUCCGGCUUGCAAACCGAAAGACUUCUUUCCAGAGGGUUCUGUGCGAGGCCUCAGGACCCAGACCAGGAUUUCCAUCAGCUCCCCUGGCUCGCAGGCCUUCUGACUUCUGACUCACCAGGGGCUCUCCUGGAUCCAGCUUCAUGAUGGCAGAUCGUGGGACUUCUUGGCCUCCGUAAUCACAUGAAACAAUGCCCACAAGAGAAAAUAAAAGCAGUCAGAGAAGAUUUUGAAAACUCUUUAUCUCCACGGCCUUUCCCCUGUUCCCCAGCAUGUGGAGCCGUGGACUCUGCCUUCCGCCCAUCACGAUGGUGCAGAACCUCAUAUCCCAGCGUUUGUUACCACAGACUUCCCCUUUCUGUCCUGCUAGCAGAGGCCACGCUGCCACUCCGCGUCGGACCCCUUCUCCUCUCGCUUCCUCAGUGGCACUGUUGGAGCUACCCUCCCCUCUCCUGCAUUAUCAUUUCUUACUUUUCUCUCGGAUCAUUUCAAUCGGCAUAAAACUACUUGUAAUUUCACCCUUCUGAAAACAAAAUCCUUUUUUGACCCAUUUCCCUCGUCUUCUAGUGCCUCAUUUCUUUGUUCCCCCAACUCUUUACAACAAAACUUCAUGAAAGAUUUGUC